Ziziphus jujuba (common jujube) is the source of this 956-nucleotide long non-coding RNA. RefSeq lists it as uncharacterized. NCBI's taxonomy places the organism in Eukaryota, Viridiplantae, Streptophyta, Magnoliopsida, Rosales, Rhamnaceae. The transcript is spliced from 2 exons. The record is from RefSeq and is a predicted model, not a curated record.
CCUAAGAAAACAACUCUCAUUUUCUUCUUGCCGUGCUCACCUUCACCUUCACCUCAUAAAGAGCUGCUACCGCACCAUUCACCAAGCUGUCGCCAAUGCCGCCAAGCUGCCGACCAUCACCAACCUUCACUCACUUCACAGGAAUCACAACCCUCAUAGCCUAAACCUCGACACCUAGGGGUCAAUUACUUCAUCUCAUCUAGUCCACGGGCUGAUUUUGGGAAAGUGUGAUUUGUGAUUUUAUUUGUUUUUCUUAUUCUGUUGCGUUUCCGUGCUUGGGGGAAGAGGCUUUUUUCUUGGGAGGUUGAUUCUAUAUUCAUGCGUGAUCCAGUCAGUUUUAACACCACCUGGAGGUUUGCCUUGGUAGAACAACAAUGACUUCUUGAAUCCAAUUUUAAAUCCAUCACUGGUUUGUCGGCUCCUAUAGCAUUCCAAUAACUAUCUCCAGCAUCUCUGUUGGGAUGCUCCCCAUUUGGGUAUUUACGAUCUCUUGGCAUGAAUAAGUACAACUCAUCUUCUCCUUGUGCUUCAUAGUUUAUUAGUUUGCUGUGUUUCAAUAAAAAUUAUUCAUUUAUGAGAUUUACCAUACAAUUGAAAGUCUGAAACCAAAUAACCAAAAAAAAAAAAUACAAUGGUAGACAAGGUAGCUCAUUGAAUGGUAGAUGUAAAAAGACCUUUAAUAUUACAUGUUCCAUAACAUGACAUACUUUAGAAAAAUCAUAUAUAUACAUAACUAUCAUAUAUAGAAUAGUCAAAAGAAAGUUCUUGCUUUCUAGCCAGGACCAAUUCAUUAAGAAAAUUUAAGCAAUAAGAAGUAAAACUUUAUUAUGUGUGUGUAUUUUUAUAAACUUUUUGUUUAUGUAUUUGGAUUAUAUUACAUUGUAUUUUUUUAAGGAUGUAUUUUAUUAUAAUUGUAAAUUUAGACCUUGAUGUAUUUUAUUGUAUUUUAUUUUAGA